AUUGAACGCUGGCGGCAUGCCUAACACAUGCAAGUCGAACGGUAACGCGGAGAGCUUGCUCUCUGGCGACGAGUGGCGGACGGGUGAGUAAUACUUAGGAAUCUGCCCAGUAGUGGGGGACAACUCGAGGAAACUCGAGCUAAUACCGCAUACGCCCUACGGGGGAAAGCGGGGGAUCUUCGGACCUCGCGCUAUUGGAUGAGCCUAAGUCGGAUUAGCUUGUUGGUGAGGUAAAGGCUCACCAAGGCGACGAUCCGUAGCUGGUCUGAGAGGACGAUCAGCCACACUGGGACUGAGACACGGCCCAGACUCCUACGGGAGGCAGCAGUGGGGAAUAUUGGACAAUGGGCGCAAGCCUGAUCCAGCAAUGCCGCGUGUGUGAAGAAGGCCUGCGGGUUGUAAAGCACUUUCAGUAGAGAAGAAAAGCCUACGGUUAAUACCCGUGAGUCUUGACGUAACCUACAGAAGAAGCACCGGCAAACUCCGUG
This 488-nucleotide ribosomal RNA is filed under the name uncultured bacterium. RNAcentral's name for it is "bacterial SSU rRNA". It matches the Rfam family "Bacterial small subunit ribosomal RNA", at positions 30 to 507 of the family's 1533-position model. The record is from RNAcentral.